This 460-nucleotide ribosomal RNA is filed under the name uncultured bacterium. RNAcentral's name for it is "partial 16S ribosomal RNA". It matches the Rfam family "Bacterial small subunit ribosomal RNA", at positions 338 to 795 of the family's 1533-position model. The record is from RNAcentral.
CCUACGGGAGGCAGCAGUGAGGAAUAUUGGUCAAUGGACGAGAGUCUGAACCAGCCAAGUAGCGUGAAGGAUGACUGCCCUAUGGGUUGUAAACUUCUUUUAUAUGGGAAUAAAACAGGGUAUGCAUACCCUCUUGUAUGUACCAUAUGAAUAAGGAUCGGCUAACUCCGUGCCAGCAGCCGCGGUAAUACGGAGGAUCCGAGCGUUAUCCGGAUUUAUUGGGUUUAAAGGGUGCGUAGGCGGCCUUUUAAGUCAGCGGUGAAAGUCUGUGGCUCAACCAUAGAAUUGCCGUUGAAACUGGGAGGCUUGAGUAUGUUUGAGGCAGGCGGAAUGCGUGGUGUAGCGGUGAAAUGCUUAGAUAUCACGCAGAACCCCGAUUGCGAAGGCAGCCUGCCAAGCCAUGACUGACGCUGAUGCACGAAAGCGUGGGGAUCAAACAGGAUUAGAUACCCCUGUAGUC